RNAcentral lists this ribosomal RNA (468 nucleotides) under uncultured bacterium. RNAcentral describes it as "partial 16S ribosomal RNA". It matches the Rfam family "Bacterial small subunit ribosomal RNA", at positions 28 to 507 of the family's 1533-position model. The record is from RNAcentral.
GACGAACGCUGGCGGCGUGCUUAACACAUGCGAGUCGAACGGAAAGGCCCUGAUUUUGUGGGGUGCUCGAGUGGCGAACGGGUGAGUAACACGUGAGUAACCUGCACUUGACUUUGGGAUAACUUCAGGAAACUGGGGCUAAUAUCGGAUAGGAGCUCCUGCUGCAUGGUGGGGGUUGGAAAGUUUCGGUGGUUGGGGAUGGAAUCGAGGCUUAUCAGCUUGUUGGUGGGGUAGUGGAUUAGCAAGGCUUUGACGGGUAGCAGACCUGAGAGGGUGACCAGCCACAUUAGGACUGAGAUACGGACCAGACUCCUACGGGAGGCAGUAGUGGGAAAUAUUACACAAUAGCCGCAAGCCUGAUGCAGCAACGCCCCGUUCGUGAUGACCUCCUUCUGGUUAUAAACCGCUUUCUCCUGUGACGAAGCGUUAGUGACGGUAAUUAAUAAAGAAGCACCGGCUAACUACGUG